This 465-nucleotide ribosomal RNA is filed under the name uncultured bacterium. RNAcentral's name for it is "partial 16S ribosomal RNA". It matches the Rfam family "Bacterial small subunit ribosomal RNA", at positions 29 to 507 of the family's 1533-position model. The record is from RNAcentral.
AUGAACGCUGGCGGCGUGCUUCACACCUGCCAGUCGCACGAUGAAGCCCAGCUUGCUGGGUGGAUUAGUGGCGAACGGGUGAGUAACACGUGAGUAACCUGCCCUUGACUCUGGGAUAAGCCUGGGAAACUGGGUCUAAUACUGGAUAUGACUUCUCAUCGCAUGGUGGGGGGUGGAAAGAUUUAUUGGUCUUGGAUGGACUCGCGGCCUAUCAGCUUGUUGGUGAGGUAAUGGCUCACCAAGGCGACGACGGGUAGCCGGCCUGAGAGGGUGACCGGCCACACUGGGACUGAGACACGGCCCAGACUCCUACGGGAGGCAGCAGUGGGGAAUAUUGCACAAUGGGCGCAAGCCUGAUGCAGCGACGCCGCGUGAGGGAUGACGGCCUUCGGGUUGUAAACCUCUUUCAGUAGGGAAGAAGCGAGAGUGACGGUACCUGCAGAAGAAGCGCCGGCUAACUACGUG